GGAAACAUGUCUAGCUUGCUAGAUGAUGUCGAGUGGCGGACGGGUGAGUAAUACUUAGGAACAUGCCUUUGGGUGGGGGAUAACUAUUGGAAACGAUAGCUAAUACCGCAUAAUGUCUACGGACCAAAGGGGGGGAUCUUCGGACCUCCCGCCAUUUGAUUAGCCCAAGUGAGAUUAGCUAGUUGGUAAGGUAAUGGCUUACCAAGGCGACGAUCUCUAGCUGGUUUGAGAGGAUGAUCAGCCACACUGGGACUGAGACACGGCCCAGACUCCUACGGGAGGCAGCAGUGGGGAAUAUUGCACAAUGGGCGAAAGCCUGAUGCAGCCAUGCCGCGUGUGUGAAGAAGGCCUUCGGGUUGUAAAGCACUUUCAGUAAGGAGGAAAGGGUAGUCGUUAAUAGCGGCUAUCUGUGACGUUACUUACAGAAGAAGCACCGGCUAACUUCGUGCCAGCAGCCGCGGUAAUACGAGGGGUGCAAGCGUUAAUCGGAAUUACUGGGCGUAAAGCGUUCGUAGGCGGUUGAAUAAGCAAGAUGUGAAAGCCCAGGGCUCAACCUUGGAACUGCAUUUUGAACUGUUCAACUAGAGUACUGUAGAGGGUGGUGGAAUUUCCAGUGUA
This 618-nucleotide ribosomal RNA is filed under the name uncultured bacterium. RNAcentral describes it as "bacterial SSU rRNA". It matches the Rfam family "Bacterial small subunit ribosomal RNA", at positions 68 to 677 of the family's 1533-position model. The record is from RNAcentral.